This 255-nucleotide unclassified non-coding RNA is filed under the name uncultured fungus. RNAcentral describes it as "partial contains 5.8S ribosomal RNA, internal transcribed spacer 2, and large subunit ribosomal RNA". Lineage: Eukaryota; Fungi. The record is from RNAcentral.
AACGCACAUUGCGCCCGCCAGCACUCUGGCGGGCAUGCCUGUUCGAGCGUCAUUUCAACCCUCAGGCCCCCCCGGGGGCCUGGCGUUGGGGGCCGGCCCUGGCCGCCCCCGAAAUGCAGUGGCGACCCCGCCGCGGCCUCCCCUGCGUAGUAGCACAAACCUCGCACCGGAGCGCGGAGGCGGUCACGCCGUAAAACGGCCCCAGGCCCUCCAGUAGUUGACCUCGGAUCAGGUAGGAAUACCCGCUGAACUUAA